RNAcentral lists this ribosomal RNA (253 nucleotides) under bacterium. RNAcentral's name for it is "partial 16S ribosomal RNA". It matches the Rfam family "Bacterial small subunit ribosomal RNA", at positions 524 to 776 of the family's 1533-position model. RNAcentral also lists the same sequence under 1 other name. The record is from RNAcentral.
UACGGAGGGUGCAAGCGUUGUUCGGAAUUAUUGGGCGUAAAGGGCGUGUAGGUGGCUUACCAAGUCUGGUGUGAAAUCCCACGGCUCAACCGUGGAACUGCAUUGGAAACUGGUGAGCUCGAGUAUUGGAGGGGGUCGCGGAAUUCCCGGUGUAGAGGUGAAAUUCGUAGAUAUCGGGAGGAACACCAGUGGCGAAGGCGGCGACCUGGCCAUUUACUGACACUGAGACGCGAAAGCGUGGGUAGCAAACAGG